CCCUUAGAUGUUCUGGGCCGCACGCGCGCUACACUGAUGCAUUCAACGAGUCUAAAACCUGGUCUGAUAGGGCUGGGUAAUCUUUUGAAAGUGCAUCGUGAUUGGGAUAGAUGAUUGCAAUUCUUCAUCUUCAACGAGGAAUGCCUAGUAAGCGCAAGUCAUCAGCUUGCGUUGAUUACGUCCCUGCCCUUUGUACACACCGCCCGUCGCUCCUACCGAUUGAAUGGUCCGGUGAAGCGUUUGGACUAUGGUUUUCUGAUGGUCCGCCGUUGGAUUACCGUGGGAAGUUCGUUAAACCUUAUCAUUUAGAGGAAGGAGAAGUCGUAACA
RNAcentral lists this ribosomal RNA (329 nucleotides) under uncultured eukaryote. RNAcentral's name for it is "partial 18S ribosomal RNA". It matches the Rfam family "Eukaryotic small subunit ribosomal RNA", at positions 1470 to 1796 of the family's 1831-position model. The record is from RNAcentral.